UCAAAGGGGUGCUCCUGUAUGGAGCUGAGAUUAUACCCUCAGAACCUGAUGCGGGUAAUGCCGCCGAAGGGAUUGGG
This 77-nucleotide non-coding RNA is filed under the name human gut metagenome. Its description in RNAcentral is "TPP riboswitch (THI element)". It matches the Rfam family "TPP riboswitch aptamer (THI element)", at positions 7 to 92 of the family's 105-position model. From Rfam's summary of the family: Vitamin B(1) in its active form thiamin pyrophosphate (TPP) is an essential coenzyme that is synthesised by coupling of pyrimidine and thiazole moieties in bacteria. The previously detected thiamin-regulatory element, thi box was extended, resulting in a new, highly conserved RNA secondary structure, the THI element, which is widely distributed in eubacteria and also occurs in some archaea. RNAcentral also lists the same sequence under 1 other name. The record is from RNAcentral.